GACGAACGCUGGCGGCGUGCUUAACACAUGCAAGUCGAACGGAAAGGCCCUGCUUUUGUGGGGUGCUCGAGUGGCGAACGGGUGAGUAACACGUGAGUAACCUGCCCUUGACUUUGGGAUAACUUCAGGAAACUGGGGCUAAUACCGGAUAGGAGCUCCUGCUGCAUGGUGGGGGUUGGAAAGUUUCGGCGGUUGGGGAUGGACUCGCGGCUUAUCAGCUUGUUGGUGGGGUAGUGGCUUACCAAGGCUUUGACGGGUAGCCGGCAUGAGAGGGUGACCGGCCACAUUGGGCCUGAGAUACGGCCCAGACUCCUACGGGAGGCAGCAGUGGGGAAUAUUGCACAAUGGGCGGAAGCCUGAUGCAGCAACGCCGCGUGCGGGAUGACGGCCUUCGGGUUGUAAACAGCUUUCGCCUGUGACGAAGAGUGAGUGACGGUAAUGGGUAAAGAAGCACCGGCUAACUACGUG
Molecule: ribosomal RNA, 468 nt
Filed under: uncultured bacterium
Lineage: Bacteria
Description: partial 16S ribosomal RNA
Rfam family: Bacterial small subunit ribosomal RNA
Source: RNAcentral